GCCCCAGUGGCUCAAUGGAUAGAGCGCCGGACUUCUAAUCCGAUGGUUGCAGGUUCGAGUCCUGCCUGGGGCG
This 73-nucleotide transfer RNA is filed under the name Anaerolineales bacterium. RNAcentral's name for it is "tRNA-Arg". It matches the Rfam family "tRNA". Rfam says of the family: Transfer RNA (tRNA) molecules are approximately 80 nucleotides in length. Their secondary structure includes four short double-helical elements and three loops (D, anti-codon, and T loops). Lineage: Bacteria; Bacillati; Chloroflexota; Anaerolineae; Anaerolineales. The record is from RNAcentral.